RNAcentral lists this ribosomal RNA (404 nucleotides) under uncultured bacterium. Its description in RNAcentral is "bacterial SSU rRNA". It matches the Rfam family "Bacterial small subunit ribosomal RNA", at positions 355 to 776 of the family's 1533-position model. The record is from RNAcentral.
UGGGGAAUAUUGGUCAAUGGGCGAAAGCCUGAACCAGCCAUGCCGCGUGAGUGAUGAAGGCCUUAGGGUUGUAAAGCUCUUUCGGCGGGGAAGAUAAUGACGGUACCCGCAGAAGAAGCCCCGGCUAACUUCGUGCCAGCAGCCGCGGUAAUACGAAGGGGGCUAGCGUUGUUCGGAAUCACUGGGCGUAAAGCGCGCGUAGGCGGGUCGUUAAGUCAGGGGUGAAAUCCUGAGGCUCAACCUCAGAACUGCCUUUGAUACUGGCGACCUUGAGUCCGGAAGAGGUAAGUGGAACUCCUAGUGCAGAGGUGAAAUUCGUAGAUAUUAGGAAGAACACCAGUGGCGAAGGCGGCUUACUGGUCCGGUACUGACGCUGAUGCGCGAAAGCGUGGGGAGCAAACAGG